This 557-nucleotide long non-coding RNA is filed under the name Linum usitatissimum (flax). RNAcentral's name for it is "long non-coding RNA (LUSI_LNC001860)". The record is from RNAcentral. Lineage: Eukaryota; Viridiplantae; Streptophyta; Magnoliopsida; Malpighiales; Linaceae.
GAAUGAUGAUGCAAACCCAACCAUCAAUGCAUUUGUUGCUUUUCGCAUUUCGACCUUUCGAGGUAGCCAUUUCGUGACCCUCACGAAUUGCUUGCAUAAGUCAGCUUACAAUAACUAAUGCUUCAGUUUUGCCUCCAUUUUCCUAGGUGGUGUUACAACCAAUAGUUGCUCAGCAAGCAGAAUAUGCCUCCAUCCAUCAGAUUCUCGAUCAGACCAACUUCAUGGAUUGUAUGGUUCCUUUUUCCUCUACCUUUUCCCCCACAACUUCAUGUGCUAACUACCCCAAAUCCUUGCAGUUUCACGGCUGCGCAUCGCACUGUGACCUACGUUCCUCCCAAGUUUGCCACCCCAUAAAAAUUAUAGUCCAAUGUGCGUGACUAAUAUCAUACUGUACACGAACUUCUAGCUCUUUUCACUUCUGGAGCGGAUUCAGUGAGUGUUCCUCUUUAAUCUACACACGUUUUACUGUUACAGGUCGCAGUCUCUCUUUCUCAUCGUCCUUUCCCUAUCAGGAAUCCCACUACCGAUGUACUGCAGUUAUCAAGGGUUUUGAAGGU